Molecule: long non-coding RNA, 304 nt
Filed under: Mytilus galloprovincialis (Mediterranean mussel)
Lineage: Eukaryota; Metazoa; Mollusca; Bivalvia; Mytilida; Mytilidae
Source: RNAcentral
GGCAUAUGUUAAAAAGAUUUCAUAUCGAAUGUACUAAAUUUGGGGUCCGACGUCCGUGAACUUUUCACUCUUUGAACUUCUAUUUGGGAACAACGUAAACGGAUCAAUAUAUGAAUCUGUUAUUUUCUCCGUUGUUGAAGCAUAUGAUAAAAAGAUCAUAACAUGUCAUUUUUCAUAUCGCAUGUAUUAUCAGCCCUCGGUCAAUAUCAGCCCUCGAGCCAUGCGGCUCUUGGGCUGAUAUUGAACCUAGGGCUGAUAAUACAUGCGAUAUGAAAAAUGCCAUGUAAUAAUCUGAUAUUAUCAA